Molecule: ribosomal RNA, 150 nt
Filed under: Pseudomonas sp.
Lineage: Bacteria; Pseudomonadati; Pseudomonadota; Gammaproteobacteria; Pseudomonadales; Pseudomonadaceae
Description: partial 16S ribosomal RNA
Rfam family: Bacterial small subunit ribosomal RNA
Source: RNAcentral
AAGCUGAUGCAGCCAUGCCGCGUGUGUGAGAAGGCUUCGGAUUGUAAAGCACUUUCAGCUGGGAGGAAGGGUCGGUGUUAAUACUUUGGUGCUUUGACGUUACUCACAGAAUAAGCACCGGCUAACUCUGUGCCAGCAGCCGCGGUAAAU